Solea senegalensis (Senegalese sole) is the source of this 866-nucleotide long non-coding RNA. RefSeq lists it as uncharacterized. NCBI's taxonomy places the organism in Eukaryota, Metazoa, Chordata, Actinopteri, Pleuronectiformes, Soleidae. The record is from RefSeq and is a predicted model, not a curated record. The transcript has 3 exons.
UCUCCUCCUCCUCCUCCUCCUCCUCCUCCCCCCGUUCCUGUUCCCGGUUCUCACGGACCCCGUUACUGUGAACCAAUGAGGGUGAAGAAAUCUGCGACCAAUUACAAAAAAACGCCCACACAGCACAGCAUUCUGGAGGAGAGGGGUGUUCGGUUUGUAGCACAGGACGCACCGGAUGCCUGCCAUAACCACCCGUCUCAGUACAAGGCGAGAAACGGGUGGGCAGGUAGCUGGUGUCCUUGGCACGGUGCUGAAGGGCAGCCAGUCUGGCAAUCUGCUGGAAAUGCUGUUCACUGACUUUACCCUGAGGAACCACACUGAGCAGCGCCUUCAGAGCACGUCUUGAUUUUCAAGUGCCUUUCAAUCCCACCUGGCAGCAAGAACAGCUGUCUCUUGGAGCUCCGCCCAGCCUGCACACAAACAACAAAUCAGAGGGAGACGUCGCAGGAGAGAUAAACGCUGGAGGACACCGGAUGCACGGAGAAUUGUGAUGCUGCUGAGGGCAAGGCAGCAGUCACAUUUCAACAUGACAAAGGUGUCUUAAACUCCACUUUACUCUACACAGUCACAACUUAUACAUAAUACAUUGAACUAGGCUGGCAACGUUAUGCCUUCAAGAUUGUUCAUGACAACAUUAUAUUAACUGAAUUGUAAGUAAGCCAGCACUUUAAUAGGUUACAGGUUUUACUGCAUUUUUUAUCAAUAAACUAAAAGUGGCAUCAUUACAUUAAAUAGCAAAGCACUUAUUGAAACAUCAACCCUUAAAGUUACUUGUCUUGUGGAUUUCUGGUAGUGAAUGACAUUUUUAGUGAUGUAGCCAGAGAAGAAAAGAAUAACACAUUGCUCAAUUAUAGACAAACCAGCAU